RNAcentral lists this ribosomal RNA (320 nucleotides) under uncultured Allapsidae. Its description in RNAcentral is "SSU rRNA". The stretch from base 101 to 320 matches the Rfam family "Eukaryotic small subunit ribosomal RNA", at positions 734 to 955 of the family's 1831-position model. The record is from RNAcentral. Lineage: Eukaryota; Cercozoa; Glissomonadida; Viridiraptoridae.
GAUUUCUGACUUGGCGCGCCUGGCCCGCCGCUUUGUGCGUGUGAGUGCCGGGUCGCGCCUGUCAUCCGCCUUGUCAGUCUGGUUGCUCUUCAUUGAGUGAUCUUGCUGUCUUGGCCUUUUACUUUGAAAAAAUUAGAGUGUUUAAAGCAGGCUUCUGCUCUGAAUACAUUAGCAUGGAAUAAUAAUCUAGGACUUUGGUCCUAUUUUGUUGGUUUCUAGGACUGAAGUAAUGAUUGAUAGGGAUAGUUGGGGGUGCUAGUAUUCAGUGGCCAGAGGUGAAAUUCUCGGAUUCACUGAAGACUAACUAUUGCGAAAGCAUU